RNAcentral lists this microRNA (24 nucleotides) under Heligmosomoides polygyrus. RNAcentral describes it as "hpo-miR-10092-3p". The record is from miRBase by way of RNAcentral. Lineage: Eukaryota; Metazoa; Nematoda; Chromadorea; Rhabditida; Heligmosomidae.
CAUGCAACCUCAGUUGGAGUCGGA